RNAcentral lists this unclassified non-coding RNA (220 nucleotides) under Vincetoxicum aristolochioides. RNAcentral describes it as "ITS1". Lineage: Eukaryota; Viridiplantae; Streptophyta; Magnoliopsida; Gentianales; Apocynaceae. The record is from RNAcentral.
UCAAAUCCUUGUACCGAAUGACCUGCGAACACGUUCCGAGAAUCACAAGCGUUGUUGCGCCCUUGCUCGGUGCGGGUCGGUGACUUGUUGCCGGACGCGUCGAGCAUCGAAAACAAAAUCGGGCGCGGGAAGCGCCAAGGAAUAGCGAAAUAGAGGAUGGCCUUCCCGCGGCAUGCCGCGGGGAUUAAAGGGGUCUCCAAAUGAAAAUGUUGUACACAGU